This 249-nucleotide unclassified non-coding RNA is filed under the name uncultured fungus. Its description in RNAcentral is "partial contains 5.8S rRNA and ITS2". The record is from RNAcentral. Lineage: Eukaryota; Fungi.
AACGCACAUUGCGCCCCUUGGUAUUCUGAGGGGCAUGCCUGUUCGAGCGUCCUUACACCACUCAAGCUAUGCUUGGUAUUGGGUGCCGUCCUUAGUUGGGCGCGCCUUAAAGACCUCGGCGAGGCCUCACCGGCUUUAGGCGUAGUAGAAUUUAUUCGAACGUCUGUCAAAGGAGAGGACUUCUGCCGACUGAAACCUUUAUUUUUCUAGGUUGACCUCGGAUCAGGUAGGGAUACCCGCUGAACUUAA